AGGUGUGGGAGGUGUCGACUCCUCCCGUGCCGUCGCUAACGCACUAAGUGCCCCGCCUGGGGAGUACGGCCGCAAGGCUAAAACUCAAAGGAAUUGACGGGGGCCCGCACAAGCAGCGGAGCAUGUGGUUUAAUUCGACGCAACGCGAAGAACCUUACCUGGGCUUGACAUGUUGGUGACUGCCGUGGAAACACGGUUUUCCUUCGGGACACCAUCACAGGUGGUGCAUGGCUGUCGU
Molecule: ribosomal RNA, 238 nt
Filed under: uncultured bacterium
Lineage: Bacteria
Description: partial 16S ribosomal RNA
Rfam family: Bacterial small subunit ribosomal RNA
Source: RNAcentral